RNAcentral lists this transfer RNA (63 nucleotides) under Schizochytrium aggregatum. Lineage: Eukaryota; Bigyra; Thraustochytrida; Thraustochytriidae. The record is from RNAcentral.
CACCCUCAGAGAUCCCGAGCAACGCCAGCACGUUCUCGCUUAGCAGCAGGCUACCUCGCCAGG